Molecule: ribosomal RNA, 433 nt
Filed under: uncultured bacterium
Lineage: Bacteria
Description: partial 16S ribosomal RNA
Rfam family: Bacterial small subunit ribosomal RNA
Source: RNAcentral
AACGAACACUGGCGGCAUGCCUAACACAUGCAAGUCGAACGAGACCUUCGGGUCUAGUGGCGCACGGGUGCGUAACGCGUGGGAAACUGCCCUUAGGUUCGGAAUAACUCCCCGAAAGGGGUGCUAAUACCGGAUAAUGUCUUCGGACCAAAGAUUUAUCGCCUUUGGAUGGGCCCGCGUUGGAUUAGCUAGUUGGUAGGGUAAAAGCCUACCAAGGCGACGAUCCAUAGCUGGUCUGAGAGGAUGAUCAGCCACACUGGGACUGAGACACGGCCCAGACUCCUACGGGAGGCAGCAGUGGGGAAUAUUGGACAAUGGGCGAAAGCCUGAUCCAGCAAUGCCGCGUGAGUGAUGAAGGCCUUAGGGUUGUAAAGCUCUUUUACCCGGGAUGAUAAUGACAGUACCGGGAGAAUAAGCUCCGGCUAACUCCGUG